CCAUGAGCCAUUCAUCAAUUUUCACCUAAUCGGUACCUCUUAAGGGACUAAGUGACACUUACAAUCUAGCCUCAGUGUACCACGGCCUACCCAAAAAUGUAUGAUAGCCAUCCCAGGGUCGUAGCUGUAGCCAGGUAGGGGUCAAUGAAGGAUUACACAUAGGUCAAAAUGUAAAAAUGCUCCAAUCAUAUGACAAGUUAUACAUAUACAUGUUAUUU
Thalassophryne amazonica is the source of this 218-nucleotide long non-coding RNA. RefSeq lists it as uncharacterized. The record is from RefSeq and is a predicted model, not a curated record. The transcript has 4 exons. NCBI's taxonomy places the organism in Eukaryota, Metazoa, Chordata, Actinopteri, Batrachoidiformes, Batrachoididae.